Long non-coding RNA from Alosa sapidissima (American shad), 963 nucleotides. RefSeq lists it as uncharacterized. The record is from RefSeq and is a predicted model, not a curated record. NCBI's taxonomy places the organism in Eukaryota, Metazoa, Chordata, Actinopteri, Clupeiformes, Clupeidae. The transcript has 3 exons.
GAAGGAAAGCCCUCUAAUCGGACGGGCAAGACUGACAAGUAGGCCAGCCCGUGGCUACGCGUAGCCUAUGUCAAACAGGUGCUUUCUCUUCGACCUCCACAAAUUAAGCUACAGUUAAUUCCGUAGUCGUUUGAAUAAGUUUGCGAUUGACAACGCGACUGACAACAUUGUGAUAAAUAGGCAUUCUAACUUUUGCAAAGUCAACUUGAAUGCAUCAAUUUUGAACAAAGUUGUGUAGGCUACACCGCGCCAGUUGUAGUCUGCAUGAAGUUCUUGCACAAGCCACCGUUUUGAUUUCCUUAGGGGAGAUGCGGGCUGAACCCGCUUGAGGGAGAGAGGUGCAGGGAGAGAAUAGGUGCUCUACGCACAUCUCUAUGAAAUAAUGUAGCCUAGACUAAUACAUAUUUUAAUAUUUAAAUAAGCAAUCAUGGAAACAAUAAGUCAAUAGGCUAGACAGAUAUUGUGAGUAGGCCUAAUGCAGGAAUGGACGUUACAGUUAUUCAGUAACUAUAACGAAUUACUGAAAUUUAAAUUGUAAUGUGUUACCUUUAGACUACUUCGUUUCCCAAUAAAGUAACGAAAUUACAGUAACACGUUACCCCCAACACUGGCCUAUUGAACUUUGGUGGAUGAUGGACAGAUGUCAGUGCCCUAGUCUAAUUUACCCUCGGAAAUAAUUCUAGAUUGUCUUUAUACAAUAUAUUUAACUGGUCUAGACAUGGUGUGGUCUAUUGGGUUUCACGUAAUUUCAAAAAUACAGCUUUACAGAAUAAAUAUUGUUAACAUGUUAGGAUCAGCGCCAUAGGAUUCCCACGGUAGCCAGCGUCUGUGACGACACCUGAGCUUACCAAAAUGGCGCCCAUAGAGUCAUAGAACGUACUUCAACAUAUCCAACGUAUUCUCCUGCCAGUAAUCUAUCUUGCUCUGUUCUAGAAUCUUUGUUAGCUAGCUUUCAACAUAAUC